ACGGGAGGCAGCAGUGAGGAAUAUUGGUCAAUGGCCGGAAGGCUGAACCAGCCAAGUAGCGUGCAGGAAGAAGGUUCUAUGGAUUGUAAACUGCUUUUGUCCGGGAGUAAGGCGGCGCACGCGUGCGCCGUUGCAAGUACCGGUUGAAUAAGCAUCGGCUAACUCCGUGCCAGCAGCCGCGGUAAUACGGAGGAUGCGAGCGUUAUCCGGAUUUAUUGGGUUUAAAGGGAGCGUAGACGGGACGUAAAGUCAGCCGUGAAAAUUCGGGGCCCAACCCCGUCGUUGCGGUUGAAACUUGCGUUCUUGAGCGGAGUUGAGGAAGGCGGAAUUCAUGGUGUAGCGGUGAAAUGCAUAGAUAUCAUGAAGAAUACCGAUUGCGAAGGCAGCUUUCCAAGCUCUGUCUGACGUUGAUGCUCGAAGGUGCGGGUAUCGAACAGGAUUAGAUACCCUGGUA
RNAcentral lists this ribosomal RNA (454 nucleotides) under uncultured Bacteroides sp. Its description in RNAcentral is "partial 16S ribosomal RNA". It matches the Rfam family "Bacterial small subunit ribosomal RNA", at positions 341 to 792 of the family's 1533-position model. The record is from RNAcentral. Lineage: Bacteria; Pseudomonadati; Bacteroidota; Bacteroidia; Bacteroidales; Bacteroidaceae.